Molecule: long non-coding RNA, 489 nt
Filed under: Papio anubis (olive baboon)
Lineage: Eukaryota; Metazoa; Chordata; Mammalia; Primates; Cercopithecidae
Description: lncRNA (ENSPANG00000039826.1)
Source: RNAcentral
CCAAAGAGAAUUAAUUUCGUUUUCUUCUUCUUUAGUUACAAAGAGUGUUACACUGUACCUUUGAGGAAAACUUUCUUUCAUCAUUCCUGUAAAUGUGGACAUGCAACUUUUCUCACCACAGAGCUACAGAAAACAUUUCUAAAAAUGUGCUGAUAACAGAACAAGGAGAAUGGCCCAGACAGGAACAGAGGGAAGAUCAUGUGAAGACACAGGGAGAAGAUGGCCAUCCAUGGAAGAGGCCAAGGAGAGAGGCCUCAAAAGAAACCUGCCUUUAGACACCUUGAUCUUGGACUUGCAGCCUCCACAACAAAGAGAAAAUACAUUUCUGUUCAAGCUCUCCAGUCCAAGAUAAGGAAACUGAACAACAAGAGGGUGGUGACUUCCCAAGGUCAUACAACUAGGAAAUGAUAGAGCCAGGAUAUGAUGAACUCAGUUGAACUGACUCGAACUUGUGUCAACACCUUUAUGGAGACUUUCCUUGGGAUGAAG